CUCAGAUUGAACGCUGGCGGCAGGCCUAACACAUGCAAGUCGAGCGGUAGCACAGAGAGCUUGCUCUCGGGUGACGAGCGGCGGACGGGUGAGUAAUGUCUGGGAAACUGCCUGAUGGAGGGGGAUAACUACUGGAAACGGUAGCUAAUACCGCAUAACGUCGCAAGACCAAAGUGGGGGACCUUCGGGCCUCAUGCCAUCAGAUGUGCCCAGAUGGGAUUAGCUGGUAGGUGGGGUAACGGCUCACCUAGGCGACGAUCCCUAGCUGGUCUGAGAGGAUGACCAGCCACACUGGAACUGAGACACGGUCCAGACUCCUACGGGAGGCAGCAGUGGGGAAUAUUGCACAAUGGGCGCAAGCCUGAUGCAGCCAUGCCGCGUGUGUGAAGAAGGCCUUCGGGUUGUAAAGCACUUUCAGCGGGGAGGAAGGCGGUGAGGUUAAUAACCUCAUCGAUUGACGUUACCCGCAGAAGAAGCACCGGCUAACUCCGUGCCAGCAGCCGCGGUAAUACGGAGGGUGCAAGCGUUAAUCGGAAUUACUGGGCGUAAAGCGCACGCAGGCGGUCUGUCAAGUCGGAUGUGAAAUCCCCGGGCUCAACCUGGGAACUGCAUUCGAAACUGGCAGGCUAGAGUCUUGUAGAGGGGGGUAGAAUUCCAGGUGUAGCGGUGAAAUGCGUAGAGAUCUGGAGGAAUACCGGUGGCGAAGGCGGCCCCCUGGACAAAGACUGACGCUCAGGUGCGAAAGCGUGGGGAGCAAACAGGAUUAGAUACCCUGGUAGUCCACGCUGUAAACGAUGUCGAUUUGGAGGUUGUGCCCUUGAGGCGUGGCUUCCGGAGCUAACGCGUUAAAUCGACCGCCUGGGGAGUACGGCCGCAAGGUUAAAACUCAAAUGAAUUGACGGGGGCCCGCACAAGCGGUGGAGCAUGUGGUUUAAUUCGAUGCAACGCGAAGAACCUUACCUGGUCUUGACAUCCACAGAACUUUCCAGAGAUGGAUUGGUGCCUUCGGGAACUGUGAGACAGGUGCUGCAUGGCUGUCGUCAGCUCGUGUUGUGAAAUGUUGGGUUAAGUCCCGCAACGAGCGCAACCCUUAUCCUUUGUUGCCAGCGGUUAGGCCGGGAACUCAAAGGAGACUGCCAGUGAUAAACUGGAGGAAGGUGGGGAUGACGUCAAGUCAUCAUGGCCCUUACGACCAGGGCUACACACGUGCUACAAUGGCAUAUACAAAGAGAAGCGACCUCGCGAGAGCAAGCGGACCUCAUAAAGUAUGUCGUAGUCCGGAUUGGAGUCUGCAACUCGACUCCAUGAAGUCGGAAUCGCUAGUAAUCGUAGAUCAGAAUGCUACGGUGAAUACGUUCCCGGGCCUUGUACACACCGCCCGUCACACCAUGGGAGUGGGUUGCAAAAGAAGUAGGUAGCUUAACCUUCGGGAGGGCGCUUACCACUUUGUGAUUCAUGACUGGGGUGAAGUCGUAACAAGGUAACCGUAGGGGAACCUGCG
RNAcentral lists this ribosomal RNA (1501 nucleotides) under Klebsiella variicola. RNAcentral's name for it is "bacterial SSU rRNA". It matches the Rfam family "Bacterial small subunit ribosomal RNA". Lineage: Bacteria; Pseudomonadati; Pseudomonadota; Gammaproteobacteria; Enterobacterales; Enterobacteriaceae. The record is from RNAcentral.